This 88-nucleotide non-coding RNA is filed under the name Cupriavidus alkaliphilus. Lineage: Bacteria; Pseudomonadati; Pseudomonadota; Betaproteobacteria; Burkholderiales; Burkholderiaceae. The record is from RNAcentral.
CUUUACGGCGGGCCGGGCGGGGCUAGCUUCGGCUGGGCCGGCCGUAUCGUCCGGUUUUCUCACCCCCGUUGUCUGGCCCGCCACCUCA